AGUGUUGGAAUAAAUGGCUUUAUUAGUCCAUAAUUACUUUGUAAUUAAUGGAAUUAAAUGGUAUAUUUGGAAUCUACAUUUUGAGUAGAUUAAUUUGGUAUAUUUACUUGUUCAAAUCUAUUAAGAAUUGAAUGAGUAAUUAAUGCCCAAAGAUAGCCAUUGAAGGUGGAAAUGUGGAGUGUCAUCCCACAUUGGAAAAAUAAAGAAGUUGAAAGCUAUUUAUAAAGUGCUCUCCACCAUAAAGGAACAAUCAAGUGUGCUCCUCUAUGGUGGACCUAUGGUGCACCCAAGUAGGUUUUGACUUAGCCUUUUAAGGCUAAAACUCGAUUCCUACGAGGAAGGUACGAAGCACCUUCCGAGUCCGAGGCCGAGCACGUGCACGUCGCACUUGUCGCAAUGGGCGCUUUGUAGGCACACUUUGCACUUCGCUCGUUCGCGUCGUCGCGAGGAGCAUUGAGGAGCCUUUAGUUUUGACAAAUGAAACGGUGGCUCGGGUGACGUGGCAACAUGGCUCGGCGGUUCGGUGACGUGGCAGGGUGGGCGGACACUGACGUGGCACAGGCGGUUCCAUGACAUGGCGGAUAAGGUCCGGGUGGCUCUGAACGGAUGAGGCUGGGCGGCUGCUUGGGCCGAACCAUUGCAAUGGUUCGGUCAUGGCACCCCUUGACCGAAUAGCUGUGAUGGUUCGGUCAAGGCCUUCUCCCAACAGACGCACCCUUCCACCGCACCCCUCUACAUACUAUAAAUAGGCCCUCCAGGAUGUGGUUCAAAUCAUUCCAUUCACAUCCUCUCCUAUCAUACUAGUUAGUGUUCAUACUCAAGUCCCGAGUAUCGAGCCGUUCGACCGGAUAACGAUCUCCUAGUGCUAAGGAAUCGUCUAUCGACCCUAUACCGUUGUAUCUUGGGGGCAAUUACUAUAGAUCCGCAAGCACAAGAGCGGAAGUAAUUUUGCCUUACGGAGAGAGAUUUAAUCUCGCCUCGGUUCUGCAUUAUUCUUUUAUCGUCAUCCUAUUUUCUACACUACCCAAAUAACAAUCGUAAGGCAAAAUUAGUGUGGAAAGAUGGCGACAGGAAGCAACACCAACAACAACAAUGUUCCGCCCAACAACAAUGCUCCACCAGUUCCGACCAACGUUCCACAUGCUCCAGCACCUGCUGCUGCCGAAAAGCCGGAAAAAUUCGCAGGUUCUGAAUUUAAACGUUGGCAGUCUAAGAUGCUGUUUUAUCUUACUACAUUGAAUAUGGCUCGUUUUGUGAAUGAAUCUCCUCCAACUGUGGGGGAAGACGAGACUGAUUCGCAACUGCGGAUAGCAUAUGAUGCAUGGCAUCAUAGCGACUUUCUGUGUCGCAACUAUAUUCUGAAUGGGCUAGACAACACUCUCUAUAAUGUUUACUCUAGCGCCAAGACGUCCAAGGAACUAUGGGACUCCUUGGAGACGAAGUACAAGGCAGAAGAUGCCGGCUUGAAGAAGUUCAUAGUCGGUCGUUUUCUAGACUUCAAAAUGGUCGAUAGCAAAACCGUUGUGGAGCAAGUGCAAGAAUUUCAACUGAUCCUGCACGACAUUCUUGCCGAAGGUAUGGAAUUGUCUGAAUCUUUUCAGGUGGCCGCGGUGAUAGAGAAAUUACCACCACAUUGGAAGGACUUCAAGAACUAUCUCAAGCACAAACGCAAGGAGAUGGGACUUGAAGACUUGAUCGUUCGCUUGAGAAUCGAAGAGGACAAUAGAAUCUCCGAAAACAAGACGAACAAAACUUCCAUGGAGGCAAAAGCAAACCUAGCCGAGUCUAGCAACAAGAAGAAACGCAAGUUCAAAGGCAAAAAUCCCGACUCAAAAGGUCAGAAGAGGAUCAAAGGAGAUUGCUUCAACUGCGGCAAACCCGGCCACAUGGCGAAAGAUUGUCGCAAACCGAAGAAAGACAAGCACAAUGGUCACCAUCAAGCCCACGUGACGGAGACAAAGUCUGUGCCCCUCGACUUAGGCGAACUUGACUUGUGUGCCGUCAUAGACGAGGUCAACAUGGUCGGGAGUCCAAAAGGAUGGUGGAUCGACACCGGUGCUACCCGGCAUAUCUGCGCCGACAAGACAAUGUUCUCCUCGUAUGAAGCUCUCUCCGGCGACAGAAAGCUGUAUAUGGGCAAUUCUACCUCAUCCUCUAUCAUCGGAGUUGGAACCAUUGUGCUCAAGAUGACGUCGGAACUCAAGAUAACCCUACAGAAGGUGCUGCAUGUUCCCGACAUUCGCAAGAACUUGAUCUCAGGAUCCGCUUUGUGCAACGCCGGAUUUAGACUAGUGUUUGAAGCAGGCAAAGUUGUAAUGACCAAGAAUGGUCACUAUAUAGGAAAAGGCUACCUAGAUAAUGGCCUUUUCAAGCUUAAUGCUAUCCCUGUACUUGUACGUGACAAUGAAAUAAAGAAAAAUGUUUCUUACUUGGUUGAGUCUCCUAAUUUAUGGCAUGAUAGAUUAGGACAUGCAAAUCUAAACACACUACGUCGUUUAGUAAAUUUAGACUUAUUGCCAAAGAUGUCUUUCAAUCAACAUCAAAAAUGUGAAAUUUGUGUUGAAGCAAAAAUGGCAAAAUCUCCUUUUCAUUCAGUGGAAAGAUCAACGAAACCUCUUGAAUUGAUUCACACCGAUCUAUGUGAUUUAAAACUUGUGCAAACAAGAGGUGGAAAGAAUUACUUUAUAACAUUUAUAGAUGAUUGCACAAGAUUUUGCUAUGUGUAUCUUUUGAGAAGCAAAGACGAAGCAUUCGAAGCUUUCAAAACAUACAAAAGUGAAGUUGAGAAUCAACUUAACACCAAGAUCAAAAUGAUUCGAAGUGAUCGAGGUGGCGAGUACGUUGCACCUUUUGAGGAAUUUUGUCGUGAAAAUGGCAUUAUUCAUCAAACGACUGCACCUUAUUCUCCACAAUCAAAUGGUGUUGCAGAACGAAAGAAUAGAACAUUGAAAGAAAUGAUGAAUGCUAUGUUGAUAAGCUCAGGCCUAUCACAUAACAUGUGGGGGGAAGCUAUUCUUUCGGCUAAUAAAAUUUUGAAUAAAUUACCCCAAAAGAAACAAGAAAAAACUCCAUAUGAAUUAUGGAAAGGAAGGAAGCCGUCCUAUAAAUAUACAAAAGUGUGGGGGUGCUUAGCAAAAGUUGAAGUACCUAAACCCAAACAAAUAAAAAUAGGACCAAAAACUGUUGAUUGCAUCUUCAUUGGAUAUGCAAACAAUAGUAGUGCGUACCGAUUCUUGGUACACAAAUCGGAAGCACCCGAUAUGAAUGAGGGAAUGAUUAUAGAAUCAAGAAAUGCCAUAUUCUUUGAAAAAAUAUUCCCUAAGAAAGAGAAGAAUGACAUAAGUUCGAAAAAGAGAACUUAUGAUGAAAUUUCGCUUAAAGAUAACGGACCAACACGUGAACUAACACCGCAACCAAGACGCGGAAAGCGAACAAAAACUGCGAAAACCUUUUGGUCCGGAUUUUGUAGUCUAUACUUUAGAAGACGAACCAAAGACAAUCAAGGAAGCAUUGUCUGGUCCUGAUGCCGAUCUAUGGCGUGAAGCUAUCAAUAGUGAAAUCGAGUCAAUCUUAUCCAAUCACACUUGGCAUAUUGUUGAUCUUCCUCCGGGAAAUAAACCUUUGGGUUGCAAGUGGAUUCUUAAGAAGAAAUAUAAAGCCGAUGGAUCUAUUGAUAAGUAUAAAGCACGUUUGGUAGUUAAAGGCUACAAACAAAAGGAAGGGUAUAAUUACUUUAAUACAUACUCUCCAGUCACUAGAAUUACAUCCAUUAGAAUGCUACUUGCUAUAGCCGCAUUAUAUAAUCUUGAGAUACACCAAAUGGAUGUAAAAAUAGCAUUUCUAAAUGGAGAUUUAGAAGAUGAGAUAUAUAUGGAACAACCCGAAGGGUUUGUGAUUCCCGGCCAAGAAAACAAAGUUUGUAAACUUGUCAAGUCUUUAUAUGGACUUAAACAAGCUCCCAAACAAUGGCAUGAGAAAUUUGACCAGCAAUGAUGUCAAAUGGAUUCAAAAUCAAUGAAUGUGAUAAAUGUGUGUACAUCAAAGGAACAUCCGACAACUUUGUCAUUGUCUGUCUCUACGUUGAUGAUAUGCUAAUUAUGGGUAGCAAUAAUAAAAUCAUCGUAGAAACUAAGGAAAUGUUAAAGAAGAACUUUGACAUGAAAGAUAUGGGAUUAGCGGAUGUGAUUCUAGGAAUUAAGAUCCUUAGAACACCCGAAGGAAUAGUCUUAUCACAAUCUCACUAUGUUGAGAAUGUGCUUAAGAAAUUCAAAGCUUUCGAUCUACCUCCAGCUAAAACACAUGUUGACUUAAGUAUACACUUAGCCAAAAAUCGAGGAGAACCCGUAUCACAAUCGGACUAUGCUAGAAUUAUUGGAAGCCUAAUGUACUUAUCAAAUUGUACAAGGCCAGACAUAGCAUAUUCUAUUAGCAAAUUGAGUUGGUUUACAAGUAAUCCUGAAAAGGAUCAUUGGACCGCAUUGAUAAGAGUGUUGAGAUACUUAAAACACACAAUAUCUCAUAGUAUACACUAUUCGAGAUAUCCCGCAGUUUUGGAAGGGUAUUGUGAUGCCAAUUGGAUAUCCGACACUAAAGACUCUAAAUCCACAAGUGGGUUUGUAUUUACCAUUGGCGGAGGAGCAAUAUCAUGGAAGUCUUCUAAGCAAACUUGUAUAGCCCGAUCAACAAUGGAAUCAGAAUUUAUUGCUUUAGACAAAGCCGGCGAAGAAGCCGAAUGGUUAAGAAACUUCUUAGAAGAUAUUCCCUGUUGGGAAAAACCUUUACCUCCUGUUAUGAUACAUUGCGAUAGCAUGGCUGCCAUAGGGAGAGCAAAGAAUAGUUUGUAUAACGGUAAAUCUCGACAUAUUCGUCGAAGAUAUUUGAUCUAUUAUUGUGUGUAUGUUGUUGACUUGGUUUACACAAAAGUUGACCGUUCAAGACAUCGCGUUCACCGAGCAACGAGUAAAUCCGAUGGCAUUACACUAAGGAAGGUUCAAAACUAACAACUACCUAUCCUGAUGCAAUAAUAGGUCGUCGGGACUUAGUUUUUUGCAUUUGCAUUAAUCAUCAUUCAUGUGGGGGAUUGUUGGAUUAUAUAGCUUAUUUAAUGCCAUAAUUACUUUGGUAAUUAAUGGAAUUAAAUGAUAUUUUUGGAAUCUACAUGUUGAGUAGAUUAAUUUGAUAUAUUUACUUGUUCAAAUCUGUAAAGAAUUGAAUGAGUAAUUAAUGCCCAAAGAUAUCCAUGGUUCGAACCACCUGUUUGCCCAAACAGUGCACGUGGUGACGGUUAAGGACCGAAGAGACACGACGGUUCGGACCACCUGUUUGCCCAAACCGACGCGGCAGCGGUUGAGGACCGAAGAGACACGAUGGUUCGGAUCUGUUUGUCCUAACAGGGCACGUGGCGACAGUUCAAGACCGAAGAGACACGCCAGUUCAGACCUCAUGUUUGGCCAAACAGUCACGUCAGUUCAAGGAAACCCCUGGACUACUAUAAAUAGGGCCCUCCAGAAUGAGAUUAAACACACCAACGAAUUCACAUAAUUAAUUUGUCAAAUUAGUUUAGUUUACAUACUCAGUCCCGAGUAUCAAGCCGUUCGACCGAAUAGCGAACUCCUAGUGCUAAGGACUCGUCUAUCAUCCCUAAACCGUUGUAUCUUGGGGGCAAUUACUGUAGAUCCGCAAGCACAGAGCGGAAGUAUUUUUUCCUUACGGAGAGAGAAUUUAUUCUCGCCUCGGUUCUGCAUCCUUACAUUUAUCGUCAUUCUAUUUCCUACACUACCAGAUAACAAUAAUUACUCCCUCCGUCCCACUGACAAACAUGGUUUUCAUACCCCAAUUCCACAUGAAUUGUUGUCAUUUUCCUUCAUGUUUUGCUUGUGAGUGCUUGUUUGUACCUUAAUGUUAUGCUUUAUUGAGAUUUGAUGCUUAGUAUAGAUUUUGGAGUGUUUUCAGGAAAAAUAAAGGACUAAUUGGAGGAUUUUGAAGAUAUAAGAUUAAAUUACGUCUCGAGAGGAAUUCGUGAGCGCGAACGGCGACCAAAUCCGAGUCCGGACGAGGGAGAACGGAGCAAAACGAGCAGACUGCGCAAAGAGCCCAGUAGCCCGCGGUCACCACCGCGGCCACGGGGAGGGACCGCGGCAAACUCGCCCUCGACGCCAGAGGACCCCCGCGGUCACCACCCGCGGCCGCGGGGUGGGACCGCGGGUUCCCUGCCAUUUUCCCACGUUUCCUAGCCGCGGUCACGGGCUGUGACCGCGGGAAAAAGGCGGGGCUCCCCCCAAGUGGACCCCAGACGCGAAUUUGAGCUCUAAAACUCAUUUUUCCCCCCAUUCUUCAUAUCCAUCAUCUUUCCCACACAUUUUCAUCUUCCCCAACACUCCAAUUCCAAACCCUAGCCUCCAUUUCUACCAUUUUUUCUCUUCCAUACAUUAGAACAACACCAGAAUCAAAGAAAGAAUGGGAAGACUUGGAAAGGAGCUCAUCAAGACUACAUGAUUGAAGAUCAAGAUUAUAGGAUUUGUCUAUGAAUCUCUAUCUCUCUAUAUCUUUAUUUAUGUUUUCUUAUGACUUGAGAUUUGCUUUUAUUAUGAAUAUGCUUGGCUAAAAUCUCUUAUCUUAGGGAUUAGAUUAGAUGGAUUUGUAAUGGAUUGAUUUCUUUGUUUAAUAUAUAUCUUGAUUGUGCUUAAUUGUUAUCUUUUCAAGUCCUAGAUUUAUCUCUUGUAUGAUUGGUUGGCCACCUUUUGUGCAUUUCUAAUUUGUGAUUUGAAUCGGGAGAUGAUAAUUACAAUAGAUUAGGAGUUUGAUACAUAUCAUCUCAAUAAACCGGGAGGUUGAGAGUUGGGUGAGGGCUUGUUGAUCUUUUGUGCUCUUGGGAGUUAUAGGUUAGAAAUUGACCGGGGACGGCAAUUAUGACCCGUAAUCUACUGUUUUAAUCGUUCGGGAGGGGGCUAAAACUAGUGGAGAGAUCGUCCUAGAUAAGUAGGCCAUAUCAAGAUUUAUAUUGAUUUAGAUUGAAGUUCAUUACGAUCCAUCGAAAUCUAGUCCCUAGGAUAACUUUCCUUCGAGUCAUUCCCCAAUUUAUUAACUAGUUUUUAUUAUUGUUAUUUAGUUUGCUUGCUUUAAUUUAACUUUGAUUUAACCUUCAAUCUCUUCAUCUUUAGUUGUCUAAAUAGAUUGAAAACAACUUAUUAAUAGUAUUUAGAAGUUUGAAUUCAUCAAUCCUUGUGGGAUACGACCUUGCUUCCACUUAUUGCAACUACACCGUAUACUUGCGGCGUGGUGAAAAUAAUAGCGAACAAGUUUUUGGCGCCGUUGCCGGGGAUUGGUUGAGUUUUUACUUUUGAUAUUAUGUAAUGUUUCUUUUGUCUAAUUUAGAUAUUUUUUUAUAUAUUAGUUUAUUUAUAUGUUUAUUUACUUUUGUUAGAAAAAAUUGCCGCACAACCGAAGAAGCGGCACCAAAAAAAUUAAAUGGAUGAUGGAAGGAAUGAGUUGGUUGAGGAACUCCAACUACAAUUGGCGAUGAUGCAACUUAAGUUGCGUGUUUUAGAAGCCAAANUUAAAGAUAAACUUUGACAUGAAAGAUAUGGGAUUAGCUGACGUGAUUCUAGGAAUUAAAAUCCUUAGAACACCCGAGGGAAUAGUCUUAUCACAAUCUCACUAUGUUGAGAAUGUACUUAAGAAAUUCAAAGCUUUUGAUCUGCCUCCGGCUAAAACACCUGUUGACUUAAGUAUACACUUAGCCAAAAAUCGAGGAGAACCCGUAUCACAAUCGGACUAUGCUAGAAUUAUUGGAAGCCUAAUGUACUUAUCAAAUUGUACAAGGCCGGACAUAGCACAUUCUAUUAGCAAAUUGAGUCGGUUUACAAGUAAUCCAGGAAAAGAUCAUUGGACCGCAUUAAUAAGAGUGUUGAGAUACUUAAAACACACAAUAUCUCAUAGUAUACACUAUUCGAGAUAUCCCGCAGGUUUUGGAAGGGUAUUGUGAUGCCAAUUGGAUAUCCGACACUAAAGACUCUAAAUCCACAAGUGGGUUUGUAUUUACCAUUGGUGGAGGAGCAAUAUCAUGGAAAUCUUCUAAGCAAACAUGUAUAGCCCGAUCUACAAUGGAAUCGGAAUUUAUUGCUUUAGACAAAGCCGGCGAAGAAGCCGAAUGGUUAAGAAACUUCUUAGAAGAUAUUCCCUGUUGGGAAAAACCUUUGCCUCCUGUUAUGAUACAUUGCGAUAGCAUGGCUGCCAUAGGGAGAGCAAAGAAUAGUUUGUAUAACGGUAAAUCUCGACACAUUCGUCGAAGACAUAAUACCGUUAGACAAUUGAUCACUACAGGAAUAAUGUGCAUUGACUAUGUAAAGUCAAAAGACAAUAUUGCGGAUCCGUUUACUAAAGGUAUUAAUCGUGAUCAAUUGUAUAACGCAGUGAGGGGAAUGGGAUUAAAAUCCACACGUUAAGAACUUUCAUAGUGGUAACUCAACCAUGAUGACUGGAGAUCCCAAGAACAUGGUUCAAUGAGACAACUAAAUUAUGGAAGUUCAAGUUGAGCACUUGAAACUUUCAAAAUCCAUUCUCAUAGCUGCUCAAGUGCAAAGCCUGCAGCUUGUGGUAAAGGGUAAGCCAUCAAAAGCUUUUAAUGAUUCCUAUAGCCUUAUUAGGUGGAGUAUGGCAGGAUACUCUUUAUAGGAGAUCACCUAUACAAGUGAAGAAGUGGGGCCGCUUCAAAUUAUCAAUAACACUUGUGAAUCCAAGAAAUGGUCCAAGGCCGAAAUGGACACAACGUGAGAACGAAAGAUAUUAGAUCUAUUAUUGUGUGUAUGUUGUUGACUAGGUUUACACAAAAGUUGACCGGUUCAAGACACCAUGGUUCACCGAGCAACGAGUAAAUCCGAUGGCAAUACACUAAGGAAGGUUCAAAGCUAACAACUACCUAUCCUAAUGCAAUAAUGGAUCGUCGGGACUUAGUUUUUUGCAUUUGCAUUAAUCAUCAUUCAUGUGGGGGAUUGUUGGAAUAAAUGGCUUUAUUAGUCCAUAAUUACUUUGUAAUUAAUGGAAUUAAAUGGUAUAUUUGGAAUCUACAUUUUGAGUAGAUUAAUUUGGUAUAUUUACUUGUUCAAAUCUAUUAAGAAUUGAAUGAGUAAUUAAUGCCCAAAGAUAGCCAUUGAAGAUGGAAAUGUGGAGUGUCAUCCCACAUUGGAAAAUUAAGGAAGUGUAAAGCUAUUUAUAAAGUGCUCUCCACCAUAAAGGAACAAUCAAGUGUGCUCCUCUAUGGUGGACCUAUGGUGCACCCAAGUGGGUUUUGACUUAGCCUUUUAAGGCUAAAACUCGAUUCCUACGAGGAAGGUGCGAAGCACCUUCCGAGUCCGAGUCCGAGGCCGAGGCCGAGCACGUGCACGUCGCACUUGUCGCAAUGGGCGCUUUGUAGGCGCACUUUGCACUUCGCUCGUUCGCGUCGUCGCGAGGAGCAUUGAGGAGCCUUUAGUUUUGACAAAUGAAACGGUGGCUCGGGUGACGUGGCAACAUGGCUCGGCGGUUCGGUGACGUGGCAGGGUGGGCGGACGCUGACGUGGCACAGGCGGUUCCAUGACAUGGCGGAUAAGGUCCGGGUGGCUCUGAACGGAUGAGGCUGGGCGGCUGCUUGGGCCGAACCAUUGCAAUGGUUCGGUCAUGGCACCCCUUGACCGAAUGGCUGUGAUGGUUCGGUCAAGGCCUUCUCCCAACAGACGCACCCCUCCACCGCACCCCUCUACAUACUAUAAAUAGGCCCUCCAGGAUGUGGUUCAAAUCAUUCCAUUCACAUCAUCUCCUAUCAUACUAGUUAGUGUUCAUACUCAAGUCCCGAGUAUCGAGCCGUUCGACCGGAUAACGAUCUCCUAGUGCUAAGGAAUCGUCUAUCGACCCUAUACCGUUGUAUCUUGGGGGCAAUUACUAUAGAUCCGCAAGCACAAGAGCGGAAGUAAUUUUGCCUUACGGAGAGAGAUUUUAUCUCGCCUCGGUUCUGCAUUAAUUCUUUUAUCGUCAUCCUAUUUUCUACACUACCCAAAUAACAGGUAACCCUAAGAAUCCGGAGAUGAAGGAGACGGAAGAGAAAGCAGAGAUGCACACGAAUUCGUAGGAUUCCGCGUUGUGGAUUUGAGCCACGUCUUGAACCACGAAAGACAUCCAAGCGUCGUGAACGACCACGACCCUUGCGAAUUUUCCCGCCAUUUCCCUCAAGUAGGCGGCAAAGGGGCGGCGGAGGUCAAGCGUCGCCUCCGCGGCUGGCAGGAGCUGUGUAGGGAAUUUGUCGGUGGAGUUGGGGUUGGGCGGAGGAGAGAGAAAGGAUGGGGUGGGGAAGUCGUGGAAGUGGAUCUUCGCGACGACGUCGUGUAGGGCGUUGAUGCGGACUUGGGCUUGGCGGUUGUGGAGGGCGGAGCCCGCGUAGUAGACGGGGAGGCCGUAGGAAGAGAUGAGGGAGGAGAGCUGCAGCAUUUGGUUGAGGUGGCCUUGUGCCGGAAAUGGCACCGCCACGACGGCGACCGGAGCUAGUUUGGUGGCGGUGGGCUGGCGGUGGUGAUUGCUCAUGAUCACGUAUGUGUGUUUUGAUAAAUUUGUGUCUUGAUUGAGCGAUAGACUUAAGCAUGAGAUGAUAAAUAAGUUUAUAUAUAUAUAUAGAGAGAGA
This 10648-nucleotide long non-coding RNA is filed under the name Salvia miltiorrhiza (redroot sage). Its description in RNAcentral is "long non-coding RNA (SMIL_LNC000590)". Lineage: Eukaryota; Viridiplantae; Streptophyta; Magnoliopsida; Lamiales; Lamiaceae. The record is from RNAcentral.